This 497-nucleotide ribosomal RNA is filed under the name uncultured bacterium. Its description in RNAcentral is "partial 16S ribosomal RNA". It matches the Rfam family "Bacterial small subunit ribosomal RNA", at positions 28 to 507 of the family's 1533-position model. The record is from RNAcentral.
GAUGAACGCUGGCGGCGUGCCUAAUACAUGCAAGUCGAGCGAACAGACGCGGAGCUUGCUCCUCUGACGUUAGCCGCGCACGUGUGAGUAACACGUGGAUACUCUACUUCUAUGACUGGGAUACCUUCGGGACACCGGAUCUUAUUCCAGAUAAUAUAUUGACCCGUAUGGUUCAAUAGUGAAAGUCGGUUUUGAUGUCAAUCCUACAUGGAUCCGCGCCGCUUGAGCUAGUUUGUAGGGUAAAGGCUUACCCAGGCGACUGUGCGUAGCCGACCUGAGAGGGGGAUCGGCCACACUGGAGCGGAGCCACGGUCCGGACUACUACGGUAGGGAGCAGUAGCGAAUCUUCCGCAAUGGGCGAAAGCCUGACGGAGCAACGCCGCGUGAGUUAUGAAGAUCUUCGGAUCGUAAAAAUCUAUUAGUAGGGAAGAACAAAUGUGUAAGUAACUAUGGACGUCUUGACGGUACCUAAACAGAAAGCCACGGCUAACUACGUG